Molecule: ribosomal RNA, 208 nt
Filed under: uncultured bacterium
Lineage: Bacteria
Description: partial 16S ribosomal RNA
Rfam family: Bacterial small subunit ribosomal RNA
Source: RNAcentral
CUCGUAGGCGGCCGGCUAAGUCCGACGUGAAAUCCCCAGGCUUAACCUGGGAACUGCGUCGGAUACUGGCGGGCUUGAAUCCGGGAGAGGGAUGCGGAAUUCCAGGUGUAGCGGUGAAAUGCGUAGAUAUCUGGAGGAACACCGGUGGCGAAGGCGGCAUCCUGGACCGGUAUUGACGCUGAUGAGCGAAAGCUAGGGGAGCAAACGG